Molecule: transfer RNA, 71 nt
Filed under: Camelus bactrianus (Bactrian camel)
Lineage: Eukaryota; Metazoa; Chordata; Mammalia; Artiodactyla; Camelidae
Also listed under: 1 other name
Rfam family: tRNA
About the family: Transfer RNA (tRNA) molecules are approximately 80 nucleotides in length. Their secondary structure includes four short double-helical elements and three loops (D, anti-codon, and T loops).
Source: Rfam by way of RNAcentral
GAGGGUAUAGCUCAGGGUAGAGCACAUAUUUAACAUGCACGAGGUGCUGGGCUCAAUCCCCAGUACCUCCA